GUAGUUAGCCGGGGCUUCCUCCUCAAGUACCGUCACUUCCUUCGUCCUUGAGGACAAAAGUUUACAAUCCGAAAACCUUCUUCCUUCACGCGGCGUUGCUGGGUCAGGCUUUCGCCCAUUGCCCAAUAUUCCCCACUGCUGCCUCCCGUAGGAGUCUGGACCGUGUCUCAGUUCCAGUGUGGCCGAUCAGCCUCUCAGCUCGGCUACCCAUCGUUGACUAGGUGGGCCGUUACCCCGCCUACUAUCUAAUGGGACGCGAACCCCUCCUAAUGCGGAUUGCUCCUUUGACCUCAUCCCGAUGCCGGGUCGUGGUCUUAUGCGGUAUUAGCACUUGUUUCCAGGUGUUAUCCCCCUCAUUAGGUCAGGUUGUUCACGCGUUACUCACCCGUUCGCCACUCAGAUAAAUCCGAAAAUCUAUCUCCGUUCGACUUGCAUGUGUUAGGCACGCCGCCACGCGUCGUCUCGAGCACUAAUACAACUACUCGA
This 486-nucleotide ribosomal RNA is filed under the name uncultured bacterium. RNAcentral describes it as "partial 16S ribosomal RNA". The record is from RNAcentral.